AUUGAACGCUGGCGGCAGGCCUAACACAUGCAAGUCGAACGAGUGGCGGACGGGUGAGUAAUGUCUGGGAAACUGCCAGAAGGAGGGGGAUAACUACUGGAAACGGUAGCUAAUACAGCAUACCAUCGGAUGAGCCCAGAUGGGAUUAGCUAGUAGGUGGGGUAAAGGCUCACCUAGGAGACGAUCCCUAGCUGGUCUGAGAGGAUGACCAGCCACACUGGAACUGAGACACUGUUCAGACUCCUACGUGAGGCAGCAGUGGGGAAUAUUGCACAAUGGGCGCAAGCCUGAUGCAGCCAUGCCGCGUGUAUGAAGAAGGCCUUCGGGGUUUAAAGUACUUGCAGCGAGGAGGCGUUACUCGCAGAAGAAGCACGGACUAACUCCGUGCCAGCAGCCGCGGUAAUUC
RNAcentral lists this ribosomal RNA (406 nucleotides) under uncultured bacterium. RNAcentral describes it as "partial 16S ribosomal RNA". It matches the Rfam family "Bacterial small subunit ribosomal RNA", at positions 30 to 526 of the family's 1533-position model. The record is from RNAcentral.